UACGAAGGGGGCUAGCGUUGUUCGGAAUUACUGGGCGUAAAGCGCACGUAGGCGGAUAUUUAAGUCAGGGGUGAAAUCCCGGGGCUCAACUCCAGAACUGCCUUUGAUACUGAGGAGCUCGAGUCCGGGAGAGGUGAGUGGAACUGCGAGUGUAGAGGUGAAAUUCGUAGAUAUUCGCAAGAACACCAGUGGCGAAGGCAGGUCUCUGGGCCAUAACUGACGCUGAGAAGCGAAAGCAUGGGGAGCGAACAGG
Molecule: ribosomal RNA, 253 nt
Filed under: uncultured bacterium
Lineage: Bacteria
Description: partial 16S ribosomal RNA
Rfam family: Bacterial small subunit ribosomal RNA
Source: RNAcentral